GUCUACAGCCAUGCCACCCUGAACAAGCCUGAUCCCGUCUGAUCUUGAAGCUAAGCAGGAUCAGGCCUGGUUAGUACUUAGAUGGGAGACCACCUAGGAAGACCAGGUGCUGUAGGUG
RNAcentral lists this ribosomal RNA (118 nucleotides) under Pteropus alecto (black flying fox). Lineage: Eukaryota; Metazoa; Chordata; Mammalia; Chiroptera; Pteropodidae. The record is from RNAcentral.